RNAcentral lists this ribosomal RNA (974 nucleotides) under Coprothermobacter sp. Its description in RNAcentral is "bacterial SSU rRNA". It matches the Rfam family "Bacterial small subunit ribosomal RNA", at positions 94 to 1087 of the family's 1533-position model. Lineage: Bacteria; Pseudomonadati; Coprothermobacterota; Coprothermobacteria; Coprothermobacterales; Coprothermobacteraceae. The record is from RNAcentral.
AGCGGCGAACGGGUGAGUAACACGUAGGUAAUCUACCCUUCAGAGGAGGACAACCUCAGGAAACUGAGGCUAAACCUCCAUGUGUUCAUUAUCAGGAAUGAUAAUGAAGAAAGAGUUACCGUAGAGGUAGCUGCUGAAGGAUGAGCCUGCGGCCCAUCAGGUAGUUGGUGAGGUAACGGCUCACCAAGCCGAAGACGGGUAACCGGUCUGAGAGGAUGUCCGGUCACACUGGGACUGAGACACGGCCCAGACUCCUACGGGAGGCAGCAGCAGGGAAUCUUGGGCAAUGGGCGAAAGCCUGACCCAGCGACGCCGCGUGGAGGAAGAAGUCCUUCGGGGCGUAAACUCCUGGACUGGGGGACGAGGAAGGACGGUACCCCAGUAGAAAGGGACGGCUAACUACGUGCCAGCAGCCGCGGUAAAACGUAGGUCCCGAGCGUUGUUCGGAUUCACUGGGUGUAAAGGGCGCGUAGGUGGUUGUCUGUGUCUCAUGUGAAAACUCAGGGCUCAACUCUGAGAUGGCGUGGGAAACUAGGCAGCUAGAGGACGGUAGAGGGGAGUGGAAUUCCCGGUGUAGCGGUAAAAUGCGUAGAUAUCGGGAGGAACACCGGUGGCGAAGGCGGCUCUCUGGGCCGAUCCUGACGCUGAGGCGCGAAAGCUAGGGGAGCGAACCGGAUUAGAUACCCGGGUAGUCCUAGCCGUAAACGAUGGGUGCUAGGUGUUGGGGGGUAAAGACCCUUCAGUGCCGAAGCAACGCGAUAGCAUCCCACCUGGGGAGUACGGCGCAAGGUUGAAACUCAAGGAUUGGCGGGGUCCGCACAAGCGGCGGAGCAUGUGUUUAAUUCAUGCUGCCCGAGAACUUUACAGGGUUUGACUGCUGGUAGUAGGAACCCGAAAGGGGACUACCCACCGUAUGGAGGAGCAGCCAGUGGUGCUUGCUGUCGUCAGUCCUGCGGGAGGUGUCGGCUAAGUGC